This 433-nucleotide ribosomal RNA is filed under the name uncultured bacterium. RNAcentral describes it as "partial 16S ribosomal RNA". It matches the Rfam family "Bacterial small subunit ribosomal RNA", at positions 29 to 507 of the family's 1533-position model. The record is from RNAcentral.
AACGAACGCUGGCGGCAUGCCUAACACAUGCAAGUCGAACGAGACCUCCGGGUCUUGUGGCGCACGGGUGCGUAACGCGUGGGAACCUGCCCUUAGGUUUGGAAUAACUCUCCGACAGGGGUGCUAACACCGGAUAAUGUCUUCUGACCAAAGAUUUAUCGCCUUUGGAUGGGCCCGAGUUGGAUUAGCUAGUUGGUAGGGUAAAAGCCUACCAAGGCGACGAUCCACAGCUGGUCUGAGAGACUGGUCACCGACACUGAGAGUAGGACGCGGCCCGGACUCCUACGGGAGGGAGGAGUGGGGGAUAGUGGAAAGUGGGGGGAGGCAUGAUCGAGCUAGGACGGGUGAGUGAUGAAGGCCGUAGGGUAGUAAAGCGCAUUUACCCGUGAUGAUAAUGGCGGUACCGGGAGAAUAAGCUCCGGCUAACUACGUG